Molecule: ribosomal RNA, 216 nt
Filed under: Glomeromycotina sp.
Lineage: Eukaryota; Fungi; Glomeromycota
Description: partial small subunit ribosomal RNA
Rfam family: Eukaryotic small subunit ribosomal RNA (bases 87-216)
Source: RNAcentral
GGGUCAGUAGGUUGGUCGUGCCACCGGUACGUACUGGUCUCACUGAUUCCUCCUUCCUGAAGAACCGUAAUGCCAUUAAUUCGGCGUUGCGGGGAAACAGGACUGUUACUUUGAAAAAAUUAGAGUGUUUAAAGCAAGCUAACGCUUGAAUACAUUAGCAUGGAAUAAUGAAAUAGGACGAUCGAUCCUAUUUUGUUGGUUUCUAGGAUUGACGUA